Long non-coding RNA from Lolium rigidum, 958 nucleotides. RefSeq lists it as uncharacterized. The transcript has 4 exons. Lineage: Eukaryota; Viridiplantae; Streptophyta; Magnoliopsida; Poales; Poaceae. The record is from RefSeq and is a predicted model, not a curated record.
GCUGAAAUUGUGCUAUCAGUAUGCUUAAGAUGUGUACUGAAAUAAAUUAAGUUGAUUCGUCCAUCAUGCUUUAGUUGUUGCGUACUGCUAUAAUCUAUCUGGUGGUUUUUUUUGCAACAUGUAUAAAUUGUCCACUGGUUUAAUUAGUUUCCUUGUCAACAUGCUUAAGGUGCAAGUGCAAAGGUUAAAAAAAUGCUCAAGGUGCAUUUUUUGUUUGACCAACAUGCAUAAGUGGGCUAAUGUUUUAAUUAAGUUGUUUUAUUAACAUUCCUUAAGUUGAGCACUAAAAGUACUUAACCUGGUUCUGCCAGCAUGCUCAAGUUGUUUUCUUACAAUCUAACUAUGCUUUUUUUUUUCCUUGAACAGCAUACAUAAAUUGGCUACUGAUUUAAUUAAGUUGGCUAUUGAAAGUAAUUAAGUUGCUUUUUGUUCAACAUGGUCAAAUUGCUAGCUGAGGAAAAAUUGGAUUUCUAUCAUGCUCAGGGAGCUAUGCAUAGAUUUAUCUAAGAGGGUCAGUACUUUUGUUGAAGCCAUUGGUAAUCCAGACAAUGAAGCAAGCUCUAGCAAUAAUCAGGGCAGAACAAGGAAGAGGCGAAGAUGUAUGGAGUUGACGAGGACAAAGAAAUGUCUGAAACUACCUGAACUUUGUAUGCAAAAGAGAAGUGUUCUUUGUCCAUGGGGGUUAGGUCCCUUAUGUAUGUAAUAUUUGCGUCCUUUUGUCCGAGAACAUCAGUGUGCGGGGGUGGCAGCAUUAUCAAGGGAGGAAAAUAUUAUCCCUACAUUGACGCGGCAACACUAUUUACAAAGUCAGAUAUGACAGAUGCUUAGUGUUCUGAAGCUACUAGUAGUCGAAGGUGGUUAUUUGGAUUAGCUACGCUGAUCGAACGAUGAAGAUUGAAUCAACUAAAUUUUCUGGGUUGGGUGCACAAUGGCGAGCCUUAGAGGAAAGCAAGCAUUU